RNAcentral lists this ribosomal RNA (327 nucleotides) under uncultured eukaryote. Its description in RNAcentral is "partial 18S ribosomal RNA". It matches the Rfam family "Eukaryotic small subunit ribosomal RNA", at positions 1470 to 1796 of the family's 1831-position model. The record is from RNAcentral.
CCCCUAGAUGUUCUGGGCCGCACGCGCGCUACACUGAACAGUUCAACAAGUCUUAACCUUGGCCGAUAGGUCUGGGUAAUCUUUGAACGCUGUUCGUGAUUGGGAUAGACCUUUGCAAUUAUGGGUCUUCAACGAGGAAUUCCUAGUAAACGCAAGUCAUCAGCUUGCAUUGAUUACGUCCCUGCCCUUUGUACACACCGCCCGUCGCACCUACCGAUUGAACGUUUUAGUGAGGUACUCGGACUGAGCCUCAGAAGAUUCACGUCUUUUGUGCUGCUCGGGAAGAUUCCCAAACUUGAGCGUUUAGAGGAAGUAAAAGUCGUANCA